Molecule: non-coding RNA, 30 nt
Filed under: Mus musculus (house mouse)
Lineage: Eukaryota; Metazoa; Chordata; Mammalia; Rodentia; Muridae
Source: RNAcentral
UCAAAGAAUGCACUGGCUAGAACUGGUGGC